RNAcentral lists this long non-coding RNA (438 nucleotides) under Olea europaea (common olive). RNAcentral's name for it is "long non-coding RNA (OEUR_LNC001126)". The record is from RNAcentral. Lineage: Eukaryota; Viridiplantae; Streptophyta; Magnoliopsida; Lamiales; Oleaceae.
UAUACACAUACACAUACAAACCUAGAGAAAAAGGGGGUCAAUUUCUGCGGCAGACUGGAGGAGAGAAAGAAAAGGGCAGCCAUUAUUAUUAUAUAUUCUUACACACACGUUCUGCAAAAAGGGGGAUUUGACACAGACGGAGAGAGAAAAGAAUUGGAGGGCCAAUUUGAUGCUCAAAUUUAUAGAUAUACAAGCAUAGAAAUUUAGGUAGCUUUGGUGAAAUUAAUUGGGUGCUGUCUGCCAAUAUCAUUGAAUUAUAUACAAACACGGCGGAGACUCGAGACAAGACGGAAACACCAAAAAAAAGGGCAACAAUUUUAUUAAUCACGUUCCGUAAAUAAAUCGGGUGAUGUCUUCCAUGAUAAUAUUUUGUUUUUCUCCUAUUAAUAUGCGUAGCUAAAUUUAUUUUUAGGGCGAACAAUGUAACUGAUUUGGAAC